AUUAAACGCUGGCGGCAUGCCUUACACAUGCAAGUCGAACGGCAGCACGGGGGCAACCCUGGUGGCGAGUGGCGAACGGGUGAGUAAAGCAUCGGAACGUGCCCUAGAGUGGGGGGAUAACGUAGCGAAAGUUACGCUAAUACCGCAUAUUCUGUGAGCAGGAAAGCAGGGGAUCGCAAGACCUUGCGCUCUGGGAGCGGCCGAUGUCGGAUUAGCUAGUUGGUGGGGUAAAGGCCUACCAAGGCGACGAUCCGUAGCGGGUCUGAGAGGAUGAUCCGCCACACUGGAACUGAGACACGGUCCAGACUCCUACGGGAGGCAGCAGUGGGGAAUUUUGGACAAUGGGCGCAAGCCUGAUCCAGCCAUGCCGCGUGAGUGAAGAAGGCC
Molecule: ribosomal RNA, 387 nt
Filed under: uncultured bacterium
Lineage: Bacteria
Description: bacterial SSU rRNA
Rfam family: Bacterial small subunit ribosomal RNA
Source: RNAcentral